This 63-nucleotide ribosomal RNA is filed under the name Mycosphaerella sp. TC 0.37. Its description in RNAcentral is "partial 28S ribosomal RNA". Lineage: Eukaryota; Fungi; Ascomycota; Dothideomycetes; Mycosphaerellales; Mycosphaerellaceae. RNAcentral also lists the same sequence under 1 other name. The record is from RNAcentral.
GUUGACCUCGGAUCAGGUAGGGAUACCCGCUGAACUUAAGCAUAUCAUAAAAAGGGGGGGAAA